Long non-coding RNA from Dicentrarchus labrax (European seabass), 1469 nucleotides. RefSeq lists it as uncharacterized. Lineage: Eukaryota; Metazoa; Chordata; Actinopteri; Moronidae. The record is from RefSeq and is a predicted model, not a curated record. The transcript is spliced from 3 exons.
UGUGCGCCACGGAGGCGUCUCCCCGCCAUUUGGCAUGCCAUGCGCGUCUGGUGCGCUGGAGACUGCCUGUCAAACGCCUGUGAGUCGGUGGCGCAGCCAGGGACCCUACGGAGCGCCAGAUGGGCCAUUAAGCAGCAUCAGUCUGAGAGUGAGAUGUGGGGGAGGGCCGUCUAUGUUCACGUCUCAAGAGGCGGCUCAGAUGAGGACUGCAGGGUUGGCAUCACCGGUGUGUGAGUGAACAAAGAACAUCCAAGACCCCUUUUCAAGAUGAGCUGGUCAAACGCAGCCCCAGCACCCCUGUGACCUGUGAGCUCCCAGCAGCUUCAAACAGAGCUCUGCUGUUUGCUUCUUGAUAAAAUGAUCCUCUUUGUAUUUGUUUCCCUGAGCCAGCGUCAUAACCUGCAAUGCCCCGGCCAUAUCUGCUAGUUUGCGGCAUGUCUGGGAAAAAUAACAAACAGUCUUCUCCAUUAUUUCCACAAACGGGGAACGAAAGGUCCUCGCCCGCCAUCCCCACGAGAGCCUGUAUUGAUUACAACAAUGCUUCAACUCAAGACAAGACCACUCUGGGGUCACUGCUAUUUCCAUCAGAAAGUUUGCCAGUUUAAAUUUACACAGCUCUCUCGUACUCUUCUCCUCUCUCGCCUCCAGUGAGACACACAGGAGAGCUGCAGAGUUUUCAGAUAUCAGAGUGCCAGUUGUAUAACGGAGAUGCUCACCCUUUGCUCUGCAAGUGGGUGUUGUGGAGCUCCAACUAUAGGCUCCUCCAACUAUAAGCUCCCCACUAGAGAGCCUCGACCUGCUUAGAGGGGUCAAAGCAUCAUGAGAGAAGAGAGAGAGAGAGAGAGAGAGAAAGAGAAAGAGAGAGAACGGAACAAACAGAGAGAUGGAGAGCAAGAGAAGAAUAAGGGACAAUGGGAGAUGAUGAGAGAGUGAGAAGUGAUGCCUUUGUUUCUUUUAUGUAUUUCUCUGAGGUCUGCCGUGCUACUGUUUGAGUACUUGAGGGCCGCUGAAUCACUGCAGCCCCCAGGCCCUUAGAUGUCAUUACAGCCAGACUGUCUCCUAGCUGGAGAAGUUUUAACAAGGAAGGUCAUCAGGAGGAAAACAACUUAUCUUCGUGUAUAACUAUGUCUGUUUGUUUGCCUGUCAGAGUGCCUGCAGUCUAAUAUACAGCUAUACAACAUACUGUCAGACAAUACGGCAUCUGAAUGACCACUGGGCAGGAAAAAACUAACCAAGGAUAGUUGAACUUUUAUGAACACCUAAGAAGACCCCUGAAGUAUCAUGACAGCUUCUUAUCCCUACUCUCCUCACUCUGUCCAUGCGAGGCAAUGAAAGUCUGAACAGUGCUGGUCAACCUAAAACUGAGGGAGAAGCACGAUUCCCAUGCUCAUUUUUAGAGCUUUUAACUUUAGAAUUUCACUUACUGUCCACUGGUGCCAUUUCCCCAUGCGAAGAUCUUGUUGUCCACU